UGGCGGAAUUGGUAGACGCACCAGGUUUAGGUCCUGGCGCUGAAAGGCGUGAAGGUUCGAGUCCUUUCGGCCGCACCA
RNAcentral lists this transfer RNA (78 nucleotides) under Betaproteobacteria bacterium. RNAcentral describes it as "tRNA-Leu". It matches the Rfam family "tRNA". From Rfam's summary of the family: Transfer RNA (tRNA) molecules are approximately 80 nucleotides in length. Their secondary structure includes four short double-helical elements and three loops (D, anti-codon, and T loops). Lineage: Bacteria; Pseudomonadati; Pseudomonadota; Betaproteobacteria. The record is from RNAcentral.